UGAGUAACACGUGGGCAACCUGCCCUGUAGAUUGGGAUAACUCCGGGAAACCGGGGCUAAUACCGAAUAAUCCUUCGGACCUCAUGGUCCGAUGUUGAAAGGCGGCUUCGGCUGUCACUACAGGAUGGGCCCGCGGCGCAUUAGCUAGUUGGUGAGGUAACGGCUCACCAAGGCCACGAUGCGUAGCCGACCUGAGAGGGUGAUCGGCCACACUGGGACUGAGACACGGCCCAGACUCCUACGGGAGGCAGCAGUAGGGAAUCUUCCACAAUGGACGAAAGUCUGAUGGAGCAACGCCGCGUGAGUGAAGAAGGUUCUCGGAUCGUAAAACUCUGUUGUGAGGGAAGAACAAGUACCGGAGUAACUGCCGGUACCUUGACGGUACCUCAUUAGAAAGCCACGGCUAACUACGUGCCAGCAGCCGCGGUAAUACGUAGGUGGCAAGCGUUGUCCGGAAUCAUUGGGCGUAAAGCGCGCGCAGGCGGUCCCUUAAGUCUGAUGUGAAA
Molecule: ribosomal RNA, 506 nt
Filed under: uncultured bacterium
Lineage: Bacteria
Description: bacterial SSU rRNA
Rfam family: Bacterial small subunit ribosomal RNA
Source: RNAcentral